RNAcentral lists this ribosomal RNA (492 nucleotides) under uncultured Streptococcus sp. Its description in RNAcentral is "bacterial SSU rRNA". It matches the Rfam family "Bacterial small subunit ribosomal RNA", at positions 28 to 504 of the family's 1533-position model. Lineage: Bacteria; Bacillati; Bacillota; Bacilli; Lactobacillales; Streptococcaceae. The record is from RNAcentral.
GACGAACGCUGGCGGCGUGCCUAAUACAUGCAAGUAGAACGCUGAAGGAGGAGCUUGCUUCUCUGGAUGAGUUGCGAACGGGUGAGUAACGCGUAGGUAACCUGCCUGGUAGCGGGGGAUAACUAUUGGAAACGAUAGCUAAUACCGCAUAAGAGUAGAUGUUGCAUGACAUUUGCUUAAAAGGUGCACUUGCAUCACUACCAGAUGGACCUGCGUUGUAUUAGCUAGUUGGUGGGGUAACGGCUCACCAAGGCGACGAUACAUAGCCGACCUGAGAGGGUGAUCGGCCACACUGGGACUGAGACACGGCCCAGACUCCUACGGGAGGCAGCAGUAGGGAAUCUUCGGCAAUGGACGGAAGUCUGACCGAGCAACGCCGCGUGAGUGAAGAAGGUUUUCGGAUCGUAAAGCUCUGUUGUAAGAGAAGAACGAGUGUGAGAGUGGAAAGUUCACACUGUGACGGUAUCUUACCAGAAAGGGACGGCUAACUAC